CCUACGGGUGGCAGCAGUGGGGGAUAUUGCACAAUGGGGGAAACCCUGAUGCAGCGACGCCGCGUGUGGGAAGACGGUCCUCUGGAUUGUAAACCACUGUCCCCAGGGACGAAGAUGACGGUACCUGGGGAGGAAGCUCCGGCUAACUACGUGCCAGCAGCCGCGGUAAUACGUAGGGAGCGAGCGUUGUCCGGAAUUACUGGGUGUAAAGAGUUGCGUAGGUGGCAUAAUAAGUAGCUAGUGAAAUCUGGUGGCUCAACCAUUCAGACUAUUAGCUAAACUGUUAAGCUCGAGACCGUUUGGGGUAACUGGAAUUUCUAGUGUAGGAGUGAAAUCCGUAGAUAUGAGAAGGAACACCAAUAGCGUAGGCAGGUUGCUGGGACGGUUCUGACACUAAGGCACGAAAGCGUAGGGAGCAAACGGGAUUAGAUACCCCUGUAGUC
This 443-nucleotide ribosomal RNA is filed under the name uncultured bacterium. Its description in RNAcentral is "partial 16S ribosomal RNA". It matches the Rfam family "Bacterial small subunit ribosomal RNA", at positions 338 to 795 of the family's 1533-position model. The record is from RNAcentral.